This 354-nucleotide unclassified non-coding RNA is filed under the name Hevea brasiliensis (rubber tree). The record is from RNAcentral. Lineage: Eukaryota; Viridiplantae; Streptophyta; Magnoliopsida; Malpighiales; Euphorbiaceae.
GUUUCGUAUAUUAAUAGUUUCAAAUCUUAAAAUUAAUUACCUAGAAUUAACGGAAAAUCAGAAUUUUAUUUUUUAAAAUAUUAAAAAUUAAAUAAUUUUACGAAUUACCUUUAAAACGAAUUUUUCAACAAAUGUAAAUUCAUCCAUCUCAACGUGUUGCUACGUGACAAUAAUUCAGAACUACUUACAAUAAAAUUUUCGGACAUUAAGCAAAAUGAUUAAUUAUAAUCACAAAAUUAAUCAUUGGGGGAUUGAAGCUAAAUCACAGGGUAUUCAUUUGUUGUUAAAAAAGGUAUUCGUUAGUUAUGGUUUCAAUUUAGUAUAAUUUUAAUUUUGAUUAAAUUUAACAAAUAA